UAUCUCUGUAGAGUCUGCAUAUCAAUAAGCGGAGGAAAAGAAACUAACUAGGAUUCCCUAAGUAACGGCGAGUGAAGCGGGAAGAGCUCAAAUUUGAAAUCUUCAAGGUUCUACCUUGACGAAUUGUAGUUUAAAGAAGUGUUUUCUGUUGGAGUUUUGGUAAAAGUUCUUUGGAAUAGGACAUCAUAGAGGGUGAGAAUCCCGUAUUUGACCAUUAUUUCCAGCUUUGUGAUACACUUUCAAAGAGUCGGAUUGUUUGGGAAUGCAGUCCAAAAUGGGUGGUAAAUUUCAUCUAAAGCUAAAUACUGGCGAGAGACCGAUAGCGAACAAGUACCGUGAGGGAAAGAUGAAAAGAACUUUGAAAAGAGAGUUAAACAGUACGUGAAAUUGUCAAAAGGGAAGCGUUUGACACCAGUGUUGUUUUCUCGAAAAUCAAUUAAAAAUGGCGGGAUUUUGUGUUGUAUUGACUUUAUCAGCUUUCUGCACUUUUUUCUUGCCUUUUUUAAUGCACUUUUCGUUUAACAAGUCAACAUCAAUUUCUUUUGUUGUAAAAGGUCAUUGGAAGGUGGCUCUCUCUUUCGGAUGAAAGUGUUUAUAGCCUUUGGCUUCUGCAAUCGGAGAGAUUGAGGUCUGCAGCGUAGAUCCUUCGGGGUUAGAUACAUUAGAUGCUAAGUUAUAGCUUUUUAUAGACAACUUGUUGACUAUGAUUAAGUCAUGUAGCUUACUCGUUUGCGCUAUUUUACCUACGCUUAGGAUGUUGAUCUCUCACAGUCGAGC
RNAcentral lists this ribosomal RNA (777 nucleotides) under uncultured Neocallimastigales. RNAcentral describes it as "partial large subunit ribosomal RNA". It matches the Rfam family "Eukaryotic large subunit ribosomal RNA", at positions 24 to 645 of the family's 3401-position model. The record is from RNAcentral. Lineage: Eukaryota; Fungi; Neocallimastigomycota; Neocallimastigomycetes; Neocallimastigales.